This is a long non-coding RNA of Mustela lutreola (European mink), 695 nucleotides long. RefSeq lists it as uncharacterized. The record is from RefSeq and is a predicted model, not a curated record. The transcript is spliced from 2 exons. Lineage: Eukaryota; Metazoa; Chordata; Mammalia; Carnivora; Mustelidae.
ACAAGGGUGGAGAUGUCCACCCACCAGGGAGACGUCCCUGAUGGGACGGGCAACCUCUUAAGAAAAGGAAGAGAGACCAGAGGUUCCUCCUUUUGCUCUUUGAGGAUGCAGCAAACCAUCUACAAUCCAGGAAGAGCGCCCUCACCAAGAACUAAAUCUGCAGGCACUGUGAUCUUCUUCCAGCUUCCAGAACUGCGAGGAAUAAAUGUCUACUGGCUGGUAUGGACUUGUGACUUGCUUAGAGACUAAUUGAAGAAAUAAUGUCGAACAACUUCUGAGCAGGGCCUCAAGAGACCCUGAAGCUUCUAUUCUCACCCUUUUGGAACCAUGAGGAUGCUGUGCUAUGAAGAAACUCGGGCUGGCGGCACUGACUGGCUCAGUCAGUACAGCGUGCAACCCUUGAUCUCAGGGCUGCGAGUUCAAGCCCCACACUGGGCAGGGAGCUUAAACAAACAAACAAUUAAACAAAUUCAGGAUAACUGACGUACCACAUGGAGACAGCGGCUCAGCCCCCCUCUAGCUGACCGAGCCAUCAGGGCUAAGGUCUCAGACCUGUGACGGCCACGAGGGGCCAUCCAGGCCCAGGCUAGACGUCAGCUGACUGCCAUCACUUGAGUAAUCUAGAUCAGAUCAGCAGAAAAACCACCUGGCCGCCCUCCGAAUCUAGAGAAACAAUAAAUCGUUGUUCUACGCCA